This 366-nucleotide ribosomal RNA is filed under the name uncultured eukaryote. Its description in RNAcentral is "SSU rRNA". It matches the Rfam family "Eukaryotic small subunit ribosomal RNA", at positions 587 to 972 of the family's 1831-position model. The record is from RNAcentral.
AGCUCCAAUAGCGUAUAUUAUUGAUGUUGCAGUUGAAACGUUCGUAGUCGAACUUUAUCUGCUCAAGCGCCUAGCCAUCGAUGAUGGUUUUGGUGCUAUCGGCGGAGAGUGUGCAAGUUAAUUGGAUGUUUCAUCCAGUUAUUUUUGCAUCUUACUUUGAGUGAAUCGGCGUGUUCCACGCAGGCGAGCGCCUUGAACGAUUUACCAUAGCAUAAAAAUAGUAUGAGGAUAUUCCCUUGAAGGUUCGGGAAUAACUUCGAUACAGAAAAGAACGGUUGAGGGCAUUCGUAUUCAACUGCUAGAGGUGAAAUUCUUUGAUUAGUUGAGGACGAACCAUUGCGAAAGCAUCUGCCAAGGACGUUUCUU